This 460-nucleotide ribosomal RNA is filed under the name uncultured bacterium. Its description in RNAcentral is "partial 16S ribosomal RNA". It matches the Rfam family "Bacterial small subunit ribosomal RNA", at positions 338 to 795 of the family's 1533-position model. The record is from RNAcentral.
CCUACGGGCGGCAGCAGUGAGGAAUAUUGGUCAAUGGGCGCUAGCCUGAACCAGCCAAGUAGCGUGAAGGAUGACUGCCCUAUGGGUUGUAAACUUCUUUUAUAAGGGAAUAAAGUGAGGCACGUGUGCCUUUUUGUAUGUACCUUAUGAAUAAGGAUCGGCUAACUCCGUGCCAGCAGCCGCGGUAAUACGGAGGAUCCGAGCGUUAUCCGGAUUUAUUGGGUUUAAAGGGAGCGUAGGUGGGUUGUUAAGUCAGUUGUGAAAGUUUGCGGCUCAACCGUAAAAUUGCAAUUGAUACUGGCAGCCUUGAGUACAGUUGAGGUAGGCGGAAUUCGUGGUGUAGCGGUGAAAUGCUUAGAUAUCACGAAGAACUCCGAUUGCGAAGGCAGCUUACUAAACUGCCACUGACGUUGAUGCUCGAAAGUGUGGGUAUCAAACAGGAGUAGAUACCCUUGUAGUC